UACGUAGGGUGCGAGCGUUGUUCGGAAUUACUGGGCGUAAAGGGCUCGUAGGCGGCCAACUGAGUCAGACGUGAAAUCCCCAGGCUCAACCUGGGAACUGCGUCUGAUACUGGAUGGCUUGAAUCCGGGAGAGGGAUGCGGAAUUCCAGGUGUAGCGGUGAAAUGCGUAGAUAUCUGGAGGAACACCGGUGGCGAAGGCGGCAUCCUGGACCAUUACUGACACUGAAAAGCGAAAGCCAGGGGAGCAAACGGG
This 253-nucleotide ribosomal RNA is filed under the name uncultured bacterium. RNAcentral's name for it is "partial 16S ribosomal RNA". It matches the Rfam family "Bacterial small subunit ribosomal RNA", at positions 524 to 776 of the family's 1533-position model. The record is from RNAcentral.